CAUAUAUGUUCACUAAAAUGUAGUUCCUUCGUAUUUUUAGCUAAAUUUAUUUAAAAAAUAAAUAAAUAACAUGCAUCCUAUCUUUCUUUUUCUUUCUCUCUCUCAAAAAAAGAAAAUUUAGCUGAUAAGAAGAUGUGCGCCGUCUUGUAGAGCAAAAAUUCCGACCGUCCCUAGAGCAAGUGGUAAAGGGUUUGGUGGUUGGUACCUGAGAUCCAGUUCGAAUACUAGUUGAUUCACAUUUCCAUCUAAGUUUAUUUCUAAAUGAAAUAAACAAAGCGGGUAACGUGCUAUCUAUCUCUGAAAAAAAAAAAAGUUUUAUAU
This 321-nucleotide long non-coding RNA is filed under the name Ananas comosus (pineapple). RNAcentral describes it as "long non-coding RNA (ACOM_LNC014281)". The record is from RNAcentral. Lineage: Eukaryota; Viridiplantae; Streptophyta; Magnoliopsida; Poales; Bromeliaceae.